CGACCUCCAUUGGACAGCCAGCCCACGCCCGCACGCUUAUUGGUGGAGGCUGACAGCUCCGCCCCUCCCCUCAUCAACACCACACGGCCCCGCCCUCCACGACCUGGGGAGGGCUCAGGCGCCCGACCUCUUCUCUUCAUUGGUCCAACCACGAGGACGCACCGGCACCCACUCACGUGCCCGGUGACCGGCUCAGCUCUCAGUGGGUACGGAACACGCCCGUCAAAGGAGACACAGCCAAUCCGACAGAGGUCGGGUCUUAUAGCACGGAGCGCAGGCAGAGUGACAAGCGCUUCUCAGGACCCGGCUGAGAGAAGCGUCGAUUGGUGGUUGGUACAGCCUCUGGGCGCCGAUUGGUUAGGACUGAACGUCAAUCACUGUCUUGGUGCUCCGGACUCCGCCCUGUUAUCAGGAGGCUGUUGAGUACGUGAUAUCCUGCACAACAUCGGCACCGGGCCGGAGACACCGGGAGACAGUGGUUCGAGACCCGGUGGAUCAAGACCCGGAGCGGUGAUUUGAGCACAGGACAAUGGAGUUUCUCUCUGACCUACUGGAGGCGCUGACUGCAGCAAGAGCCAACGCGUAGGAGUGAACAGCUGUCUGUAUAAAACUAUCUGAACAACCAAAUCGUGCCCUGAAAAUCAGAGUGAGCGCCUCUAUGCCCGUUGUCCCUUCAGUCUCAACUCAUUUUCAUGACAGCAACACAAAGCAAUUCAAAAACAAAUAAGCAAACAAAUAUUCAAAUAUAUCUGCAGAAAAAAAUUUAUUGAGAUCUAAAAUCUGAACAAAAAUACUGAACUUUAGAAAACAUCCACACGGACACAUGGAAUUUCGUUUUUUUCCCCCUAAUGUGUUAACAUUCUAACAAAACCAAACAAAACCCAUGACCCUUAAAACAGUGCUGUCCAGUCUGCCUGUGGUUGGUUACAUGUUCAGUUUCCGUGUUCUACUGAGGUAUGGCCUGCACACACUUUGGUAAAGUAAGUUACAAAACAAAAAACCAACCAAAAAAACAAAACAUGCAGUCACAGUCUCCCUCAGUACAGGCUGUAACUAGGAAAGAAAUUCAUCGAGGAAACUACUCAUCCCAUUAAAAAUACAAUACAGAAACCCUCAUAUUUCUCAGUUGCUGAGUUAAAAACAAGAUGAGAACUGGUCACUACACCUCAAACCUCCACAAUACCCAGCCAGCGAGCACCCAGCAGCCAGGCAUCGACAAGUCAGCGCUAAAGACAGUGGGAAGGGCAAUGAGGCAUGCGCGUCAGCUUUGCUUCAACUGGUGCCCUAGCCUGGGCCAGUCAAGUCCCGCUGAGGUAGUGUCAGCUAGGCCCCAGAGGCCCCCUGUGAGGAUGGUGAGGUCAGGGCCCCCUCCAGGUCUUCUGCGAAGGCCCAAGGGAUGGCUGCUGGAGCCACCCCCAGAAUGAAACACUCUGCUGGCUGCUGGGAAAAUAUGCCUGGGUUUUUCAAAGAUUGUUGUAGGCAGCUGGUUUGGGGUGAGGACUCCUGGCAACAUGACAUUGAGGUCUGGUACAGGGCUGAACAGUUUCUAAAUUCAUCUUCAAAGAAAAGGGCAGGUUUCCUUUUUUUCCCUUCUCUGGGAGAAUUGCAAACUUUGUAUUAAAAAAAGAGAAAA
Long non-coding RNA from Mesocricetus auratus (golden hamster), 1633 nucleotides. RefSeq lists it as uncharacterized. The transcript is spliced from 2 exons. The record is from RefSeq and is a predicted model, not a curated record. NCBI's taxonomy places the organism in Eukaryota, Metazoa, Chordata, Mammalia, Rodentia, Cricetidae.